UACGAAGGGGGCUAGCGUUGUUCGGAAUCACUGGGCGUAAAGGGCGCGUAGGCGGCCGAUCAAGUCGGGGGUGAAAGCCUGUGGCUCAACCACAGAAUUGCCUUCGAUACUGUUUGGCUUGAGACCGGAAGAGGUUAGUGGAACUGCGAGUGUAGAGGUGAAAUUCGUAGAUAUUCGCAAGAACACCAGUGGCGAAGGCGGCUGACUGGCUCGGUACUGACGCUGAGGCGCGAAAGCGUGGGGAGCAAACAGG
RNAcentral lists this ribosomal RNA (253 nucleotides) under uncultured bacterium. RNAcentral's name for it is "partial 16S ribosomal RNA". It matches the Rfam family "Bacterial small subunit ribosomal RNA", at positions 524 to 776 of the family's 1533-position model. The record is from RNAcentral.